Long non-coding RNA from Humulus lupulus (European hop), 564 nucleotides. RefSeq lists it as uncharacterized. The transcript is spliced from 3 exons. Lineage: Eukaryota; Viridiplantae; Streptophyta; Magnoliopsida; Rosales; Cannabaceae. The record is from RefSeq and is a predicted model, not a curated record.
UAUGCACAACGAGCCAUUAAUUCAGCUUACAUCGAGGCACAUAGUGCAUACCAUGGUAUAUGAAUUGUAAAGUUGAUGGGUCGUAGCAGUGGAUUUAUUGCUAUGCAUGCAUCCCUGGCUAGUGGAAAAAUUGAUAUAUGCUUGAUACCAGAGGUACCUUUCCAUUUACAUGGUUCUCAUGGUGUUUUGCGGCAUCUGAAAUACCUCAUUGAGACAAAAGGAUCAGCAGUGGUCUGUGUUGCUGAGGGAGCAGGGCAGGUUAGUCAUAGUAUAACAUCAGUUUUUCACUAGUUGAAACAUGAUCAACUGAUUGGAACUAGUAUAUUUUUUUUCCUUCUGGAUCUAAAUAUUAUGAAACCCCUCCAAAAACAAAAUGCCAGCCAUAUGUUGAGAUUCAACUAGCUAAAAAGAAACAACAAAUUGAUGUUUAUCUUUCUAAGGAUCUAAGUUAGGUAUGUUACAUCAAUGGUUUUGAAGAUACAGUUGGAUCAUUAAAUUUUGAUAGCAUGUUGAGUGUUUUGUUAUGAUUGGCCUGGGAAUAGUGACUGUUUUUAGUUUAACACA